RNAcentral lists this long non-coding RNA (1323 nucleotides) under Piliocolobus tephrosceles (Ugandan red Colobus). RNAcentral describes it as "lncRNA (ENSPTEG00000000452.1)". Lineage: Eukaryota; Metazoa; Chordata; Mammalia; Primates; Cercopithecidae. The record is from RNAcentral.
UGCUUAAGUUAAUUUAUUGUACCUAUUGUAAUAAGACGUAUAUGUAUAAUUUAUAUACGCAUCAACAUAGUGUUAAAUAUAUACGUGCAAGAAUGUUUUUAGAAAAAAAAAAAAAUUGAAAGCAGCAUACUAACAUUAAAGGAAAGCACAACCAUGUCACUAUCAACUGAACAGCUUAACUGUUUACUACGUACUCAAAACUUAAAUGAUAUGAAUAGAAUUAUAACCAACAUAUUGAAGAUACCCCUUCACAGUUCCUGUUUAAAUAAAAUAUGUAAGACGACAAAAUUAACCUUAAUAUUAAUUUGUAUAUGUAGCAAUUUUUUAAAAUAUUUUAAAUUAGAUUCAUGUGCAUAUGAUAUAUAUAACAAGGUAAAUACAAACAAAUGGAUGAAUGCGCCUAUAAAGGGACAUAUGUUGGAAAGAGUAAGAGCGCCUCAUUGUUUUUUUAUGUGCUUAGAUGAAAUAAUAAUAACAGAAUUAGUUAAAUUCUUGAAUUAUUUUUGUAACAUUAAAUUGUUCAACGUCAAAACUGAUUCUUUCAGUGUAUUACUUACUCAAAAAUAUGAUAUAUUAGUUAUAAAUAUGGAUAAUUUAAACACUCCUCAAAUUAAUACAUUAGUAGAAUUAAUGAAAAAUGGAGUAUAUAAAAAUAAAAAAUCAUCAUUUCCAAUAUCGAUUACCUUUUGGGUAUAUAUCGUUAAACCAUAUAUAAGAAGCGACGAAGAACUUGACAAGUAUGUACAAAAUAAUUUAUUAGCUCGUUUUGAUUUUUUGUUUGAGCUUAGUUUUGAAAAAGAUGAUGACGAUGAUGUGAUUGAUGAAAUAUUAAGAAAUGCUGAUGAUGAUAACGAUAAUUAUAAUGAAAUAAAAAAUAAAAUUUUUUUUUCUGAAUUGAUUGAUAAGUAUGCUUACUUAAAAAAAGGGAAUUUAUAUAAUUAUGAAUUUGUUGAAAUGAGUAAUACAACAAAAGCUAUAAUUCAAAAGUAUUUUAAUAUGGCUUCCGAUUCAACAACUUUAACUAUUUACCAUAUAGGCAUUUGUGAGUUAUUAUGUAUAAGUGUGUCCAUUUUAUUAGGAAAAAAGGAAUGCUUAAUAGAACAUGCUGUUUUAGGGAUGUUUUUAUAUGACAACUUUGUAUCAGCUACAAAAAACAAAUUAACUCAAUUCAAAAAAGAAUUUUUAAAUAGUAUACUGAACUGUUUAGAUACUAAAUAUAAUUCGUUACAAAAAUUAAUGAAUUAUUUUUCGACUUAUUUAAAUGCUAAAAAAGAUACGUAACAACAAAAUAAAUUAAUAUUUCAUUACUAAAAUAUUAUUUUA